CAUGUUUUUUCACAUCAAAAUGUAGAUUGGAGAUAACUUAAUGUACUUAAGCAGGACAAAAUAUUCUACUGUAACAAAUAUAUGCAGUCAUAGUGAGCAUAACUUUGUAUUCUCCAAUAUUUGAUACUGGAAGUUGGACCUCUUUGAAUCAUACUCAUUUUCUACAGUUAUUUCAAUGUUGAAAUUUAACUAAUGUUUUAUAAUAUCAUAUAAAAUCAUACACUCACACAAUAAUAUAUGUAUCUUAAAAGCACCUUGUAUAUUCUCAAAUAUAUGAAAAGCUACAUAUUUCAAGCAAAAAUUAAUAUUUAGAAUAACAUCAUUUCAUAUGAUUGAUUGGUUGGUUAAUUGAUGUGUGCUUUAUGUUGCAUUGACACAUACACUAUAUACAUCCAAAGUGUAUGUGUAUACAUGUUUCUAGUUAUUUUCAUUUGAAUUUUAUCAUGUUAUUUCAAACAUUCUUCUUAUAAGUUUAGAUAAACUGUUACAGUGAAAACCCAUAACACUUUUUUUCUUCAAAAGUUUUGACCUUGUAUCUUCAUGAGAAAAUCAAUUAAAAUAUGAAAACAAGAAUAAAAAAUAUCUCCUUGCCAGUAAUUGCACAUCAACAAUUAAAUGUAUGAAAUGAAAUAUAAAUAUCACAGACAAACAUAUAACCCAACUACAUAUCUGUUAACCUCUAAUCUGGUAUGAAGCUCAAGAUUAUUAAAAGCCAAUAAACAAAUGCAAACAGACAAAUUGAUAGGUCUCUAAUAGUGGAGUAUGUCACAUGUUUACAUUUGGGAUGAAAUAAGCUCUCUCCAAUAUCAUGAAUAAAUUAAAAAUCUAAAAAAUAUUAUUAUUUGAUAAACCCUCAUUAAGUAAAAAGUUUAUUCAUCUGGAAGAUUGGCAAAAAUUAUUGAAACAAGUGGAAAAAGUCAGCUGCACAUGUUCAUUAUAAAUAUAAGCAAACAUUCUAGAAAUUGUGAAGGCUCUGGUUUGAAAAUUGAAGGAGUGAAAAGACAAGAACUCUUUACCACUUGCUGUCCUUCCAUCCACCUGUUUGAUAAACAUUCCUUUUACUUUAAGCCAGAUUUGUAUUUUGAUAUUAUUUGGUUUAAAGAGUAAAAAAAUACCCAAUAAUCAGCAAAAAAGUAAGUGAAAUGUUGAAUUUUAGCAAAAAAAUUCACAUGAAUUAUGCUCUUGUAUGAAUAAAUGUAUAUAACAGAUUAAUGGAGGGAUCAAAACACUAUAAUAGCCACUACUUAAUUGCACUGUGUAUAAAUACAGGUGAUGCAUCUAAAUGUAUGACAGAAUCUUCAACAAUUUUGUUAAAUACACAAUUUAUCUUACUACAAGUACAAAAUAUGUUGAAUAAACUAACCCUGUGAUUACUAAGACUCAGGCAUGGGGUAAUCGUAAUCAGUAAUCGUAAUUAGCUGUAAUCGAUUACAUUCUGCAGUGUAAUCCUAUGUAAUCAGUAAUCAUGCCAUUUCUGAUUACAAGUAAUCAUAAUGUAAUCGAUUACAUUGCAAAAAACAGGUGUAAUCAGGAUUACUUUUAGAUUACUUUAAGAUUACAUUCAUAUGAUUACUUGCUGAUU
This 1582-nucleotide long non-coding RNA is filed under the name Mytilus galloprovincialis (Mediterranean mussel). Lineage: Eukaryota; Metazoa; Mollusca; Bivalvia; Mytilida; Mytilidae. The record is from RNAcentral.